GACGAACCGUGCGAACGUUGUUCGGAAUCACUGGGCUUAAAGGGCGCGUAGGCGGGCCGCCAAGUCCGGGGUGAAAUCCCCCAGCUCAACUGGGGAAUGGCCUGGGAUACUGGCGGCCUCGAGGGAGGUAGGGGCGGUCGGAACUUCCGGUGGAGCGGUGAAAUGCGUUGAUAUCCUAAGGAACACCGGUGGCGAAGGCGGCUUACUGGGUCUCUACUGACGCUGAGGCACGAAAGCUAGGGUAGCAAACGGG
Molecule: ribosomal RNA, 253 nt
Filed under: uncultured bacterium
Lineage: Bacteria
Description: partial 16S ribosomal RNA
Rfam family: Bacterial small subunit ribosomal RNA
Source: RNAcentral